This 449-nucleotide ribosomal RNA is filed under the name uncultured bacterium. RNAcentral's name for it is "partial 16S ribosomal RNA". It matches the Rfam family "Bacterial small subunit ribosomal RNA", at positions 29 to 523 of the family's 1533-position model. The record is from RNAcentral.
AGCGAACGCUGGCGGCAGGCCUAACACAUGCAAGUCGAACGGAUCCUUCGGGAUUAGUGGCGGACGGGUGAGUAACACGUGGGAACGUGCCCUUUGGUUCGGAACAACUCAGGGAAACUUGAGCUAAUACCGGAUGUGCCCUUCGGGGGAAAGAUUUAUCGCCAUUGGAGCGGCCCGCGUCUGAUUAGCUAGUUGGUGGGGUAAAGGCCCACCAAGGCGACGUUCAGUAGCUGGUCUGAGAGGAUGAUCAGCCACAUUGGGACUGAGACACGGUCCAAACUCCUACGGGAGGCGGCAGUGGGGAAUCUUGCGCAAUGGGCGAAAGCCUGACGCAGGCAUGCCGCGUGAAUGAUGAAGGUCUUAGGAUUGUAAAAUUCUUUCACCGGGGACGAUAAUGACGGUACCCGGAGAAGAAGCCCCGGCUAACUUCGUGCCAGCAGCCGCAGUAA